RNAcentral lists this ribosomal RNA (619 nucleotides) under Babesia vogeli. RNAcentral describes it as "SSU rRNA". It matches the Rfam family "Eukaryotic small subunit ribosomal RNA", at positions 447 to 1130 of the family's 1831-position model. Lineage: Eukaryota; Apicomplexa; Aconoidasida; Piroplasmida; Babesiidae. The record is from RNAcentral.
CCAAUCCUGACACAGGGAGGUAGUGACAAGAAAUAACAAUACAGGKCUAAUGUCUUGUAAUUGGAAUGAUGGUGACCCACACCCUCACCAGAGUAGCAAUUGGAGGGCAAGUCUGGUGCCAGCAGCCGCGGUAAUUCCAGCUCCAAUAGCGUAUAUUAAACUUGUUGCAGUUAAAAAGCUCGUAGUUGAAUUUUAGCGUGUUCGAGUUUGCCAUUCGUUUGGCUUUUUCGAGUUCGCUUUUGGGUUUUCCCUUUUUACUUUGAGAAAAUUAGAGUGUUUCAAGCAGACUUUUGUCUUGAAUACUUCAGCAUGGAAUAAUAGAGUAGGACUUUGGUUCUAUUUUGUUGGUUAUUGAACCUUAGUAAUGGUUAAUAGGAACGGUUGGGGGCAUUCGUAUUUAACUGUCAGAGGUGAAAUUCUUAGAUUUGUUAAAGACGAACUACUGCGAAAGCAUUUGCCAAGGACGUUUCCAUUAAUCAAGAACGAAAGUUAGGGGAUCGAAGACGAUCAGAUACCGUCGUAGUCCUAACCAUAAACCAUGCCGACUAGUGAUUGGAGGUCGUCGUUUUGCUGACCCCUUCAGGAACUUGAGAGAAAUCAAAGUCUUUGGGUUCUGGGG